AGGCCGUUCAUGAGGAAAGUCCGGGCUCCACAGGGCAAGGAUAACGGGUAACGCCCGCCGAAGGCGACUUCAGGAAAAGUGCAACAGAGAUAUACCGCUCCGCUGUCCUCUGAGGAAGGCGCCGGGAAGCAGAGUCGACGACAUUAUUUUUGCCGACGAUGAAGCGGAACGGGCUGCGGGGCAAGGGUGGAAAGGUGCGGUAAGAGCGCACCCAUCGGCUCGAGAGUGUCCGAUGCUGUAAACUCUAUCCGGAGCAACACCGGUAUGGGAGCGUCGGGGGUUCGCCCCCGAGAGGCCGGCCCGGCCGCUCCCGGGGUGGCUGGAGCGUACCGGCAACGGUGCGCCUAGAUAGAUGGCUGUCAAAUACAGAACCCGGCUUACAGUUUUGCUCGCAGA
RNAcentral lists this RNase P RNA (396 nucleotides) under Oscillibacter sp. RNAcentral's name for it is "partial RNase P RNA component class A". It matches the Rfam family "Bacterial RNase P class A". From Rfam's summary of the family: Ribonuclease P (RNase P) is a ubiquitous endoribonuclease, found in archaea, bacteria and eukarya as well as chloroplasts and mitochondria. Lineage: Bacteria; Bacillati; Bacillota; Clostridia; Eubacteriales; Oscillospiraceae. The record is from RNAcentral.